AACGCUAGCGGCAGGCCUAACACAUGCAAGUCGAGGGAGAGGUUACCUUCGGGUAACUGAAACCGGCGCACGGGUGCGUAACGCGUAUACAAUCUGCCUUUCACAUAGGGAUAGCCCGAAGAAAUCUGGAUUAAUACCUAAUGGUAUAUAAGAGCGGCAUCGUUUUUAUAUUAAAGCUACGGUGGUGAAAGAUGAGUAUGCGUUCUAUUAGCUAGUUGGAGAGGUAACGGCUCCCCAAGGCGACGAUAGAUAGGGGUUCUGAGAGGGAUGUCCCCCACACUGGUACUGAGAUACGGACCAGACUCCUACGGGAGGCAGCAGUGAGGAAUAUUGGACAAUGGUCGGAAGACUGAUCCAGCCAUGCCGCGUGCAGGAUGAAGGUCCUAUGGAUUGUAAACUGCUUUUGUAAGGGAAGAAUAAGGGGUACGUGUACUUUGAUGACGGUACCUUACGAAUAAGCAUCGGCUAACUCCGUGCCAGCAGCCGCGGUAAUACGGAGGAUGCGAGCGUUAUCCGGAAUCAUUGGGUUUAAAGGGUCCGUAGGCGGGCUGAUAAGUCAGAGGUGAAAGCGCUUAGCUCAACUAAGCAACUGCCUUUGAAACUGUCAGUCUUGAAUGAUUGUGAAGUAGUUGGAAUGUGUAGUGUAGCGGUGAAAUGCUUAGAUAUUACACAGAACACCGAUAGCGAAGGCAUAUUACUAACAAUUUAUUGACGCUGAUGGACGAAAGCGUGGGGAGCGAACAGGAUUAGAUACCCUGGUAGUCCACGCUGUAAACGAUGGAUACUAGCUGUUUGGAGCAAUCUGAGUGGCUAAGCGAAAGUGAUAAGUAUCCCACCUGGGGAGUACGCA
This 850-nucleotide ribosomal RNA is filed under the name uncultured Bacteroidota bacterium. RNAcentral describes it as "bacterial SSU rRNA". It matches the Rfam family "Bacterial small subunit ribosomal RNA", at positions 32 to 886 of the family's 1533-position model. Lineage: Bacteria; Pseudomonadati; Bacteroidota. The record is from RNAcentral.